Molecule: unclassified non-coding RNA, 301 nt
Filed under: Glomus sp.
Lineage: Eukaryota; Fungi; Glomeromycota; Glomeromycetes; Glomerales; Glomeraceae
Description: partial contains 5.8S ribosomal RNA, internal transcribed spacer 2, and large subunit ribosomal RNA
Rfam family: 5.8S ribosomal RNA (bases 1-71)
Source: RNAcentral
GUGAAUCAUCGAAUUUUUGAACGCAAAUUGCACUUUCUGGUAUUCCGGCAAGUAUGCCUGUUUGAGGGUCAGUUCAAUACUAAUCGGUGUUGUUGCUGUCUUUCGUGGUGACGCGCCGGAAUUGGAUCGUCUUACCUUCGGUUAAGUGACUUCAAAUUUUUGCAUGAUUUUCGAACGUAUUUAAAUCGCUUACGUACGUUUGAGAUAUCGAAUGCUUAUUAGGUUCGGUCAUUCCGAUGAUUCGCGCCUAUCAUUUUUCAUUAAAUGACUUCAAAUCAGGUAAGAAUACCCGCUGAACUUA